RNAcentral lists this ribosomal RNA (357 nucleotides) under uncultured Anaerolineaceae bacterium. RNAcentral describes it as "bacterial SSU rRNA". It matches the Rfam family "Bacterial small subunit ribosomal RNA", at positions 1014 to 1382 of the family's 1533-position model. Lineage: Bacteria; Bacillati; Chloroflexota; Anaerolineae; Anaerolineales; Anaerolineaceae. The record is from RNAcentral.
CCCCGUUUGUGGUCGGUGUACAGGUGGUGCGAUGGUUGUCGUCAGCUCGUGUCGUGAGAUGUUGGGUUAAGUCCGCUAACCGAGCGCAACCCUCGCUGUGUGUUACAAGUGUCACACGGAACUGCCGGUCAUAAACCGGAGGAAGGUGGGGAUGACGUCAAGUCAGCAUGGCCUUUAUAUCCUGGGCUACACACACGCUACAAUGGGAAGGGACAAUAGGUUGCGAAGCCGCGAGGCGGAGCCAAUCCAGCAAAACUUCCCUCAGUUCAGAUUGCAGGCUGCAACUCGCCUGCAUGAAGUUGGAGUUGCUAGUAAACGCAGGUCAGCCAUACUGCGUUGAAUACGUUCCCGGGGCUU